Molecule: ribosomal RNA, 847 nt
Filed under: uncultured bacterium
Lineage: Bacteria
Description: bacterial SSU rRNA
Rfam family: Bacterial small subunit ribosomal RNA
Source: RNAcentral
AGAGUUUGAUCCUGGCUCAGAUUGAACGCUGGCGGCAUGCCUUACACAUGCAAGUCGAACGGUAACAGGUCUUCGGAUGCUGACGAGUGGCGAACGGGUGAGUAAUACAUCGGAACGUGCCCGAUCGUGGGGGAUAACGCAGCGAAAGCUGUGCUAAUACCGCAUACGAUCUACGGAUGAAAGCGGGGGAUCGCAAGACCUCGCGCGGACGGAGCGGCCGAUGGCAGAUUAGGUAGUUGGUGGGAUAAAAGCUUACCAAGCCGACGAUCUGUAGCUGGUCUGAGAGGACGACCAGCCACACUGGGACUGAGACACGGCCCAGACUCCUACGGGAGGCAGCAGUGGGGAAUUUUGGACAAUGGGCGAAAGCCUGAUCCAGCCAUGCCGCGUGCAGGAUGAAGGCCUUCGGGUUGUAAACUGCUUUUGUACGGAACGAAAAAGUUCUCUCUAAUGCAGGGGGCGAAUGACGGUACCGUAAGAAUAAGCACCGGCUAACUACGUGCCAGCAGCCGCGGUAAUACGUAGGGUGCAAGCGUUAAUCGGAAUUACUGGGCGUAAAGCGUGCGCAGGCGGUUAUAUAAGACAGAUGUGAAAUCCCCGGGCUCAACCUGGGAACUGCAUUAGUGACUGUAUAGCUAGAGUGCGGCAGANGGGGAUGGAAUUCCGCGUGUAGCAGUGAAAUGCGUAGAUAUGCGGAGGAACACCGAUGGCGAAGGCAAUCCCCUGGGCCUGCACUUGACGCUCAUGCACGAAAGCGUGGGGAGCAAACAGGAUUANAUACCCUGGUAGUCCACGCCCUAAACGAUGUCAACUGGUUGGUGGGGUCUUUACUUGACUCAGUAACGAA